GCUACGGGUGGCUGCAGUGAGGAAUAUUGGUCAAUGGGCGCAAGCCUGAACCAGCCAAGUAGCGUGCAGGAUGACUGCCCUACGUGUUGUAAACUUCUUUUAUAAAGGAAUAAAGUGAGGCACGUGUGCCUUUUUGUAUGUACUUUAUGAAUAAGGAUCGGCUAACUCCGUGCCAGCAGCCGCGGUAAUACGGAGGAUCCGAGCGUUAUCCGGAUUUAUUGGGUUUAACGGGAGCGUAGAUGGGUUGUUAAGUCAGUGGUGAAAGUUUGCGGCUCAACCGUAAAAUUGCAAUUGAUACUGGCAGUCUAGAGUACAGUUGAGGUAGGCGGAAUGCGUGGUGUAGCGGUGAAAUGCUUAGAGAUCACGAAGAACUCCGAUUGCGAAGGCAGCUUACUAAGCUGCCACUGACAUUGAUGCUCGAAAGUGUGGGGAUCAAACAGGAUUAGAUACCCUGGUAGUC
Molecule: ribosomal RNA, 460 nt
Filed under: uncultured bacterium
Lineage: Bacteria
Description: partial 16S ribosomal RNA
Rfam family: Bacterial small subunit ribosomal RNA
Source: RNAcentral